Molecule: ribosomal RNA, 287 nt
Filed under: Staphylococcus aureus
Lineage: Bacteria; Bacillati; Bacillota; Bacilli; Caryophanales; Staphylococcaceae
Description: partial 23S ribosomal RNA
Rfam family: Bacterial large subunit ribosomal RNA
Source: RNAcentral
ACAGUGUCAGGCGGGCAGUUUGACUGGGGCGGUCGCCUCCUAAAAGGUAACGGAGGCGCUCAAAGGUUCCCUCAGAAUGGUUGGAAAUCAUUCAUAGAGUGUAAAGGCAUAAGGGAGCUUGACUGCGAGACCUACAAGUCGAGCAGGGUCGAAAGACGGACUUAGUGAUCCGGUGGUUCCGCAUGGAAGGGCCAUCGCUCAACGGAUAAAAGCUACCCCGGGGAUAACAGGCUUAUCUCCCCCAAGAGUUCACAUCGACGGGGAGGUUUGGCACCUCGAUGUCGGCU